Bactrocera dorsalis (oriental fruit fly) is the source of this 260-nucleotide long non-coding RNA. RefSeq lists it as uncharacterized. NCBI's taxonomy places the organism in Eukaryota, Metazoa, Arthropoda, Insecta, Diptera, Tephritidae. The record is from RefSeq and is a predicted model, not a curated record. The transcript is spliced from 2 exons.
CUCGCCUGCACUCCAUCUCAGCUUAUUUUUAUAUUUUUAACUAGCAUUUAUUGCUGACAUUUAUUAACCUACACUACAGACUACGGCACAUAUUCGUACAGCGUCGCGCCUCCCGCGCGUGUGCGACAUACAAAUCGUUUAAAUAUUCAUAAUAUAAUUUUCAACGGGUGGGCUAGUGGUGCGCAUGUGUUCCAUGCUGUUGGCUGGGCGACGUGGUUUGAUAAGGAGCUGUGAUAUAAAGUGCUUGGCUGAAAGCGUUU